UACGUAGGGGGCUAGCGUUGUCCGGAAUCAUUGGGCGUAAAGCGCGUGUAGGCGGCCCGGUAAGUCCGCUGUGAAAGUCGGGGGCUCAACCCUCGGAAGCCGGUGGAUACUGUCGGGCUCGAGUACGGAAGAGGCGAGUGGAAUUCCUGGUGUAGCGGUGAAAUGCGUAGAUAUCUGGAGGAACACCGGUGGCGAAGGCGACGUCCUGGACCGGUAUUGACGCUGAGGCGCGAAAGCCAGGGGAGCAAACGGG
Molecule: ribosomal RNA, 253 nt
Filed under: uncultured bacterium
Lineage: Bacteria
Description: partial 16S ribosomal RNA
Rfam family: Bacterial small subunit ribosomal RNA
Source: RNAcentral